This 119-nucleotide small nucleolar RNA is filed under the name Giardia lamblia P15. Its description in RNAcentral is "GLsR25 sRNA H/ACA-box". It matches the Rfam family "Small nucleolar RNA GlsR25", at positions 29 to 146 of the family's 146-position model. The record is from RNAcentral. Lineage: Eukaryota; Fornicata; Diplomonadida; Hexamitidae.
UAAAUUGAGGCUGCUAAAACACAGGGCUGCGCAGCAUCCUUGCACCUGCGCAGCCGACAGGUACGGGUGACCGUUUAUCCCGGGCCCACGUGGAUCCGAGCAGGCACGGUCAAAGACUU